Molecule: microRNA precursor, 89 nt
Filed under: Notamacropus eugenii (tammar wallaby)
Lineage: Eukaryota; Metazoa; Chordata; Mammalia; Diprotodontia; Macropodidae
Description: miRNA (ENSMEUG00000017712.1)
Source: RNAcentral
UGUGUGUGUGUGUGUGUGUGUGUGUGUGUGUGUGUGUGUGUGUGGCAUCCCCCCCACCACAAGUACAAACACAACCCCCCAGCACUAAG